Molecule: ribosomal RNA, 694 nt
Filed under: uncultured Glomeromycotina
Lineage: Eukaryota; Fungi; Glomeromycota
Description: SSU rRNA
Rfam family: Eukaryotic small subunit ribosomal RNA
Source: RNAcentral
AGUACGGGGUGUUAGGGCACGACACCGGAGAGGGAGCCUGAGAAACGGCUACCACAUCCAAGGAUGGCAGCAGGCGCGCAAAUUACCCAAUCCCGACACGGGGAGGUAGUGACAAUAAAUAACAAUACGGGGUUCUUUCGGGUCUCGUAAUUGGAAUGAGUACAAUUUAAAUCCCUUAACGAGGAACAAUUGGAGGGCAAGUCUGGUGCCAGCAGCCGCGGUAAUUCCAGCUCCAAUAGCGUAUAUUAAAGUUGUUGCAGUUAAAAAGCUCGUAGUUGAAUUUCGGGGUUAGUAGGUUGGUCAUGCCUCUGGUAUGUACUGGUCUCACUGAUUCCUCCUUCCUGAUGAACCGUAAUGCCAUUAAUUUGGUGUUGCGGGGAAUUUGGACUGUUACUUUGAAAAAAUUAGAGUGUUUAAAGCAGGCUCGCGCUUGAAUACAUUAGCAUGGAAUAAUGAAAUAGGACGUUUGAUUCUAUUUUGUUGGUUUCUAGGAUCGACGUAAUGAUUAAUAGGGAUAGUUGGGGGCAUUAGUAUUCAAUUGUCAGAGGUGAAAUUCUUGGAUUUAUUGAAGACUAACUACUGCGAAAGCAUUUGCCAAGGAUGUUUUCAUUAAUCAAGAACGAAAGUUAGGGGAUCGAAGACGAUCAGAUACCGUCGUAGUCUUAACCAUAAACUAUGCCGACUAAGGAUCGGA